UACGUAGGGUGCAAGCGUUAAUCGGAAUUACUGGGCGUAAAGCGUGCGCAGGCGGUUUUGUAAGCCAGAUGUGAAAUCCCCGGGCUUAACCUGGGAAUGGCAUUUGGGACUGCAAGGCUUGAGUGCGGCAGAGGAGACUGGAAUUCCUGGUGUAGCAGUGAAAUGCGUAGAUAUCAGGAGGAAUACCGAUGGCGAAGGUAGGUCUCUGGGCUGACACUGACGCUCAUGCACGAAAGCGUGGGGAGCAAACAGG
Molecule: ribosomal RNA, 253 nt
Filed under: uncultured bacterium
Lineage: Bacteria
Description: partial 16S ribosomal RNA
Rfam family: Bacterial small subunit ribosomal RNA
Source: RNAcentral